This 470-nucleotide ribosomal RNA is filed under the name Streptomyces sp. RNAcentral describes it as "bacterial SSU rRNA". It matches the Rfam family "Bacterial small subunit ribosomal RNA", at positions 106 to 590 of the family's 1533-position model. The record is from RNAcentral. Lineage: Bacteria; Bacillati; Actinomycetota; Actinomycetes; Kitasatosporales; Streptomycetaceae.
GUGAGUAACACGUGGGCAAUCUGCCCUUCACUCUGGGACAAGCCCUGGAAACGGGGUCUAAUACCGGAUAACACUUCCACUCUCCUGGGUGGAGGUUAAAAGCUCCGGCGGUGAAGGAUGAGCCCGCGGCCUAUCAGCUUGUUGGUGAGGUAAUGGCUCACCAAGGCGACGACGGGUAGCCGGCCUGAGAGGGCGACCGGCCACACUGGGACUGAGACACGGCCCAGACUCCUACGGGAGGCAGCAGUGGGGAAUAUUGCACAAUGGGCGAAAGCCUGAUGCAGCGACGCCGCGUGAGGGAUGACGGCCUUCGGGUUGUAAACCUCUUUCAGCAGGGAAGAAGCGAAAGUGACGGUACCUGCAGAAGAAGCGCCGGCUAACUACGUGCCAGCAGCCGCGGUAAUACGUAGGGCGCAAGCGUUGUCCGGAAUUAUUGGGCGUAAAGAGCUCGUAGGCGGCUUGUCACGUCG